GAACGCACCUUGCGCCCUUUGGCUAUUCCGAAGGGCAUGCCUGUUUGAGUAUCAUGAACACCUCAACUCUCAUGGCUUGCCGUGAUGAGCUUGGACUUUGGGGGUCUUGCUGGCCUAUGGGUCAGCUCCUCUCAAACAAAUUAGCUUGCCGGUGUUUGGUGGCAUCACAUGUGUGAUAACUAUCUACGCUUGUGGUUUUCCACCAGGUAACCCCCAGCAAUGGAGGUUCACUGGAGCUCAUAAACGUCUCUCCUCGGUGGGGACAGAUUUUGACCGUUUGAUCUCAAAUCAGGUAGGACUACCCGCUGAACUUA
RNAcentral lists this unclassified non-coding RNA (314 nucleotides) under uncultured Tomentella. RNAcentral describes it as "sequence contains 5.8S rRNA gene". The record is from RNAcentral. Lineage: Eukaryota; Fungi; Basidiomycota; Agaricomycetes; Thelephorales; Thelephoraceae.